This 28-nucleotide small RNA is filed under the name Bombyx mori (domestic silkworm). Its description in RNAcentral is "ovarian small RNA-34109". Lineage: Eukaryota; Metazoa; Arthropoda; Insecta; Lepidoptera; Bombycidae. The record is from RNAcentral.
UGCUAGGUGUGACGACGCAAUAUUAUGG